UAGUCCACGCCGUAAACGAUGGAUACUAGCUGUUCGAGAGCAAUCUUGAGUGGCCAAGCGAAAGUGAUAAGUAUCCCACCUGGGGAGUACGUUCGCAAGAAUGAAACUCAAAGGAAUUGACGGGGGCCCGCACAAGCGGUGGAGCAUGUGGUUUAAUUCGAUGAUACGCGAGGAACCUUACCAGGGCUUAAAUGUAGUCUGACAGGAGUGGAAACACUUUUUCUUCGGACAGAUUACAAGGUGCUGCAUGGUUGUCGUCAGCUCGUGCCGUGAGGUGUCAGGUUAAGUCCUAUAACGAGCGCAACCCCUGUUGUUAGUUGCCAUCGAGUAAUGUCGGGAACUCUAACAAGACUGCCAGUGCAAACUGUGAGGAAGGUGGGGAUGACGUCAAAUCAUCACGGCCCUUACGCUCUGGGCUACACACGUGCUACAAUGGUCGUGACAAAGAGUUGCUAGUCUGCGAAGGCAAGCCAAUCUCAUAAACGCGGCCUU
This 492-nucleotide ribosomal RNA is filed under the name uncultured bacterium. RNAcentral's name for it is "bacterial SSU rRNA". It matches the Rfam family "Bacterial small subunit ribosomal RNA", at positions 791 to 1289 of the family's 1533-position model. The record is from RNAcentral.